AUUUCGUCUUUGAAGACCUCACCGCUUCCCCGAGGAGGAAAAAAAAACUCUUUAGAGGGACACCGAUGGCGACUCGGGUGGCGCUCGCGACGGCUUCCUCCCUCCCUCGCUCCUCCCUACCCUCACUAGCGGCCAAGCUCGCUCCCCACCGGGGUCUCACUAGCGGCGGAGAUCAUCAUGGACCCCCAAAGGUUAACAUUUGGGAGGACCCACUGAGUCCAUCAAAAUGGAAGGAAGAGCAUUUUGUGCUUGCUAGUUUAGCUGGCUGGUUCGUGCUAGGUUAUGGAGGAUACAAGCUUUUUACUGGAAAGAAGGAAAAGAAGGAAGAGGUUGACAAUUAUGUGCGAAAUGGUGUCUCAUUAUAAAUGCAGAUACUUCUCUGAUGAGAUUGACCAGAGCUAAACAAUAAGGGAAGUUUUCUUUCUUUCUUUCUUUCUUUUUUUUCCGUUUUUUUUUUUUUUUUUUUGGUGGUUGGGGGGGUUUAGAAUAACUUUACAAUGCUGGGCUGGUGGUAUAGCUGAGAAGAGGAUGUGGGAGAAGAAGAUGUUAGUGGAAUUCAGAAUAACUUGCAUAGAGAGAGCUCGCCUUCCCUAGAAUUUGGUGUACAUAAAUUUGUAUGAACUUUUCAAAGUGGGUAUAAUAUAAUCAGAGAAUUUUGAGAUCAUCACUCCAACUAAAUGAACAUCUAUUUCUCCCCAUCGGUGAUUUUUUCGAGUAAGAUGGAAUGCUUUGGCUCUUUUUAGAGCAUAACCAGUCAGUCCUGAAAUGUGAGUUCCUAGGGACGCCACUGAUAACUGAUAACCAUUUUAUUGUAUUUAUUUAUUUUGCAGCUGUUUGGUGCCUUUUAAUCUUUUAAUACAUCUGAUGUUCUUAAUUGGUUUCAUUUUUAUUUUUUUUUCCAGAAUACUAGUAGGUGGGCACGUGUAAGUGCAUGUUCAGAAAGAAGAUAUUUAUGGCAUUAAUAAUUGUAUUGUCCGGUGGGAUGGAGUCUGGGAAGAGGUGGAUGAGUUAAAGAUAAGCAUGAGAGACAUAGUUUGAUAACUAGACCCAACUUUUAUAAUAUUUUCCAACACUUGAUACAAAAGCCGCUGGCCAAAUGGCUUUUCUUGUGGCCUCUGCUGACCAGCAGCUUUGUCUUAAUUGGUUGCCUGCGUGAGGUUGGUCAGACAGGCCUGGUUCUUUGGCUCAUAGAGAGCUGGAACUCUAAGAGUUAUGACUUCACGAAUUUGUUCUCACUUCCUCGGUUGGUUGAGCUCCAUAAUAUUCUUUUAGUAUUUUAUGUGGGUGGCCUGCUUUAUUUUCCCUUCUCCAUCAAACCACCUACUUCUUCCUCCUAUGUCUCUACCAAGUGAUUUUCUGCAGGUAGUAUGUGGAAGUAGGUGAGGAGUCUGCUUGUAAUCUGGGAAGUUGAAAGUAGCAGUUCAGUUCACAGGUGGAUGUCUUUGGGUUUGAAAUUGAUCGUGCUAUUAUAGCUGUCCCUCUGGAACAGCGGUUGUAACAGUCAGUUGGAGAAGCGGCUAGUUGCAUCUGCGCUACUGCUUUCUCUCUUCUGUGAAAGCGUGGAAAUAAAGAGUGUGCAAGGACAUGAAACCUCUGGAAGGGUUAUAAUUUUGUUCUGUUUUAUUAAGUUUUGUGGUAGGUUAUGUAGUUUGAGAGCUUUUCCUGUAAUCUCGGUGAAUACUUUUAUAUCCGAGAAACUCGUCGUUUUGUGAAUUUUAUCACUCUUGGAGAUGAUUAAUUUCACUCUUUGGCAUCUGAACAAGUCACGUUGCUUCACACAGAAAUCAAAUUUUGUUACAUCUUGCCAA
This is a non-coding RNA of Elaeis guineensis (African oil palm), 1808 nucleotides long. NCBI's taxonomy places the organism in Eukaryota, Viridiplantae, Streptophyta, Magnoliopsida, Arecales, Arecaceae. The record is from RefSeq and is a predicted model, not a curated record.